AAAAGAAACCAACAGGGAUUGCCUUAGUAGCGGCGAGUGAAGCGGCAAAAGCUCAAAUUUGAAAUCUGGCUCUUUCAGAGUCCGAGUUGUAAUUUGAAGAAGGUAUCUUUGGGUCUGGCUCUUGUCUAUGUUUCUUGGAACAGAACGUCACAGAGGGUGAGAAUCCCGUGCGAUGAGAUGAUCCAGGCCUAUGUAAAGUUCCUUCGAAGAGUCGAGUUGUUUGGGAAUGCAGCUCUAAGUGGGUGGUAAAUUCCAUCUAAAGCUAAAUAUUGGCGAGAGACCGAUAGCGAACAAGUACAGUGAUGGAAAGAUGAAAAGAACUUUGAAAAGAGAGUGAAAAAGUACGUGAAAUUGUUGAAAGGGAAGGGCUUGAGAUCAGACUUGGUAUUUUGUAUGUUACUUCUUCGGGGGUGGCCUCUACAGUUUAUCGGGCCAGCAUCAGUUUGGGCGGUAGGAGAAUUGCGUUGGAAUGUGGCACGGCUUCGGUUGUGUGUUAUAGCCUUCGUCGAUACUGCCAGCCUAGACUGAGGACUGCGGUUUAUACCUAGGAUGUUGGCAUAAUGAUCUUAAGUCGCC
This 576-nucleotide ribosomal RNA is filed under the name Candida tropicalis. RNAcentral describes it as "partial large subunit ribosomal RNA". It matches the Rfam family "Eukaryotic large subunit ribosomal RNA", at positions 57 to 649 of the family's 3401-position model. The record is from RNAcentral. Lineage: Eukaryota; Fungi; Ascomycota; Pichiomycetes; Serinales; Debaryomycetaceae.